This 304-nucleotide ribosomal RNA is filed under the name uncultured bacterium. Its description in RNAcentral is "partial 16S ribosomal RNA". It matches the Rfam family "Bacterial small subunit ribosomal RNA", at positions 506 to 809 of the family's 1533-position model. The record is from RNAcentral.
CAGCAGUAGCCACGGUAAUACGGAGGGCGCGAGCGUUACCCGGAUUCACUGGGCGUAAAGGGCGUGUAGGCGGCCUGGGGCGUCCCAUGUGAAAGGCCACGGCUCAACCGUGGAGGAGCGUGGGAUACACUCAGGCUAGAGGGUGGGAGAGGGUGGUGGAAUUCCCGGAGUAGCGGUGAAAUGCGCAGAUACCGGGAGGAACGCCGAUGGCGAAGGCAGCCACCUGGUCCACUUCUGACGCUGAGGCGCGAAAGCGUGGGGAGCAAACAGGAUUAGAUACCCCUGUAGUCCCUGUCUCUUAUAA